Sus scrofa (pig) is the source of this 5068-nucleotide non-coding RNA. The record is from RefSeq and is a predicted model, not a curated record. Lineage: Eukaryota; Metazoa; Chordata; Mammalia; Artiodactyla; Suidae.
UCGAACCCGCAACCUCAUGGAUGCUACUGAUCAGGUUCAUAACCCUCUGAGCCACCACGGGAACUCCGGAGAAGCAUUUAUUCUUGAAAACCUGCUCUGUGGGUCAGACCAGUGGGAGUGGCCGCACAGCCUGUUGGCAUUAUCCCUGUGUGGGACUGGCAGCUUUGCCACCCGAGGACCAACUGGAUGGGGGUGGAGGCAAAAAUCCAGGGCUUUUUCAGCAGAAAGUGGUGAACCCCAGAGGAAGAAAAUGAAAAUCCGCCAAAUUUGCUCAGCUGAGGCUGUGGACCUAGUUGGGAUGAGCAGCCAACCCACCAGAAAGGUAAUGGGGACAUCUUGGGGACGUGAGUGCCACCGAGGGGCUGGGCUGGCCCCGGGGGAGCGUGUGCAGGUGUGGGUGCGGGCCUGACACAGACCGGCCAGAGGGAGCUUGUGGGGCGGUGGCGGGUUCUAAAGCUCAUCCUGCACUGGCUGCAUCGGGCCACCCCUUGUCCCAGAGGACGGUGUAAACUCGCUUGGAGAGCAGUGUGUGGCACCCACGUUUCUCUCCAUGGUCUCAAAGUGAACUCGAGGGGACCCGGAGCAGGAACCCGGCUGCGGGGCAGAACCACGCGACGUGCUCGUGAAAACGGAGCUGCCCUCCCCGCCCCCCUCUACCCGCUUGUUUCCUGGGGUAAAGGCCCAGCCGCAGGUGCUUUAGAGGAUCUCCAGCUGAUCCCCAUUUGCAGCCGCAUUUGAAAACCACGGGACGACCGGAGCUGGGUUCCUCCUGGCCAGGCUGAGGUCCCCGGCAGACUCCAGGAGCUGGAGGAGGAGACAGAUGCCGAGCAAGGCAGGAGGCACAGACCCAGCUGGAGGCGGACGGGGAGACGAAGAGCUGUGACAGCCAACUGAGCGGAAACCCCUCGAGGCCAAGGGACAGCAGAGCAGCAGAGCCACCGGGCUGGGCACGUUCUCCUUACGCGCUCCCGGGCCCACAGCAGGAGGGGCAGAAGCCAAGAUCCUACCUGCCUGUGUCUUCUCCAGCCUCCCCCCCAGGGCGGGCGGCAGGGCAGGGGUGACCUGGCUCAGGCCCCGAGCCCCGGGGCCCGCCUGAGGGGGCGCGCGUGCUCCUGCCCUCACUUCAGCGCCCUGGUCACUUUGUAGCUGUGGUAGAAGACACAGCACACCAGCACGAAGGCGACGAGCAGCAAGCCGCCGGCGACGGAGAGCAUGACCUUGAAGUCCAGCUUCUCAACGACCAUGGCCACGUCGAGCAAAGCGCACACCUGGGCAGCGAAGGGCCGGGAAACGGUGACCGCCCCCCACCUCCACCCCUCACAGGCUGGUCUAGGAUGGGGAAGGGGUUUCCCUGUGGACGAAAGGGACUGCGACGUGAAGCCCAGAGAGGGGAAAUCAGGACACGUAGAGGGAGAGCCGUCUCCCCCCCACAGGCCGAAGCGUGCAGGUGCAGAGGCCAGCGCUUGAGCCGGGCGGGGUGUGGGGGGCAAAGCCCGGGCCUCCUGAAAUGUGUUUACCUGCAGAGUCAGGCUUAAAAGCGCCCUGUGGGAGCAACGAAGGCAGCGUCUUUUUUCACCGUGUUCAGCUCUGCAAAGCCGAGAAUAUGCAAACCCAUCUUGUGUAUGAUCCAUGGCGAGGGAAAAUAUUUCAGGUCUCCCACUGACAAUGGGGUCAUGCCAUCUCAGCAUUUAAGGACAUUCCAGAAGCUCCCAGCCAAACCUUCCCCGGGCUCAGGGAUGGGGAGCGCCCUGCCCAGACCAGGAAGCUUCGCCCGGGGUCCCUGUCCCACAUUCUGACUUUAUUUAGAUCCCGCCCCUACUUCGGCUGUUUUCCCUGCCAAAUGCAACCGAUUUCCUCUGAAUCCAGUGCACCUGGGAAAAGCAACUUGGUUAAUCCAACCCUCUGAGCCUUGAGAAGCCAGUCCUUUCAAAGGCCAGGUGAUGACUCGGGAGAGGAGAACCACGCGAACGGUAAGCGCACCUCCCGAGUCCAGGCGCCCUGAGCUGCACGAAGCCAAGUGAAGAUCAAAUUAAUCGACCAAGACCUUCAGUAACAAGCCCCCUCCUGCCUCCUAGAAGGGGUCUUAGUGUCACGGCGAGGGACCUGCCGUGCGAGUUUCAGGGCUGACUUCCAGAAGCUCCGUCGUCCGCCAGGGCUCAGGGGAGGGAGAGGCCAGGUCUGGGGCUUUUAGACCCAUCAGGACACAGGCUGUGUGACAUCAGCGCUUGGAACGCCAGCUCCCAGUCACAAAGUUCUCAAUUCCGUCCUGCAUUUUGGCUUAUCCUCACCUCCUGGGAAAUGCGGAAUGUCUAGGUGCUAUUUUGUGUCAUUUUGUUUUGUAGUUUUUUAGCACUGCGAGUUCUUGUUUCCCCCAGAGAAAACGUGGAGGGUUUGUCUUCUAAUCAAAAGACAGAAGGAGGAGUUCCCACUGUGGUGCAGCGGGUUCAUAACCCGGCUUGUCUCUCUAGAGGCACCAGUUGGAUCCCUGGCCCGACACAGUGGGUAGAGGAUCCGGUGUUGCUGCAGCUGCGGUGUGGGUCGCAGCUCUGUUUCAGGUUGGGUUCCUGCCCAGGAACUUCCAUAUCCUGUGGGGAUGGUCAAAAAAGGAAAAAAAAAAAAAAGAUGAGAAACCCUGCCACGUGGGGAGGUGAACAAUGUCCCCAGACCCCAGAGUUCUGGCCACACAGAGGACCCUGUAGCCGUUUCGCACAACGCAGAGCUGUGCCCGCUGAGCUGCACUGACGUGGUUAAGUGGACAUGUGACACCUACUGACAUACACGCUGUGGUUUCAUGUAGGGUUAUCUGUGGUACACACCCAGCGUAUAACCGAGAGCAGAGCUGAGACCUGUGUACCGACGUGGAUACGUCCCACGCAGUGGGCAGAAACGAGAUGAUUGUGGCCCUGGGCACAUAUUUCUGAUGAUGAAGGCAGAGAGCCUGCCAAGCCAGUUCUGUCAGACCAGGGGGUCCAUGUAGCACGUGAGGCUUCUCACGGAAGCCCGGCACAGGAGGGGGCAGAGCAGACCUCACGGGCACAGGCGUGGGGACGGGCAGCCAGCAGGCUCCAGGGGACCGCUCUCUCUGCUCGCUGGUCUGUGGGAAUGUUUCACUAGAAAACUCCUGCUUUGCAGUUGUCUCCGUUCAAGUCACCAAGGAAAGUGAGCCCAGCUGGUUUUUGCGCCAGGUGUCAGGUGGCUGGAUGGUUCUUUUUCUUUUUCUUUUUUUUAAGGUUCAGGUGAAGGAUCAUUCGACCUUGCAUUUGACUGGAUUCAUAGAGAAACCAGAAUGGAGAAGUGACAGUGAAAUGCAGCACGUAUUUUUUCCCUAACAGCUGGUACCACCGGCUUUAUGAAAAUUGGAACAACCAGACGAGGUCCCGGGAUGCUGUCCAGAGUCUCACCAGCUGGCAUGGCAUCUCCACCCAAAACAUCGACGCCCUGUCCACGUCUGGAUGCCGGAGAGAGACAAACGCUAUUGUUUUAAAAGGUUAGGUAAAACUUUCAAUGCAUCAAUGAUUAAUUUGUGAAAACUGAUGCAGAUCCUGAGGACAAUGCAAACUAAACAGAAGGAAGUGGACAAAUGGCAAGUGCUCAUUUUGCCAAGCUAUGACAGACAUCAGCUCACUGAUGAAAACACCUGAAAAUCUCAAGGUACCAAAAAAAGCGGUCUGUAAAAAUUCAGCUCAAAACAAGCUUAUUCCAGGCAAUUUUCUGGUCCAGUUCUGACUCCUUCAGAGCAGUGUGGCUGGGGAGUGGAGGGGCCGCCAGCCAACAUGCAGGCUCAGCAGCAGGAGCUAAAGGUCAGCAGCAGCACCCCCUCCUACCCUCGGGCCAGGCAGGCUUGGUGGCAGGGCAAGUGCGUGUCCACAAAGGCAUCAGGCAUGUAAAUGCAAACCCUCCAUCCACCAGGAAAGAGCCUUCUCGAUUUGUAUGUUACGUCCUCUCUCUCUAAACUGAGACUGAUUAUCUAAGACAAGCAUGGCCUUGCCUGCUGUAGACCCUGGAAAAAGCAGCAUGUUUUAAGCAACUGGACAAGAGCCGGGGAGCAGCCAAAUGUUUCAAGUUGAAAAUGAAAAAAAAGAGGAGAGUACCUGUUCUUGAUCAACUGUCAUACAAAGUCAAGGAAAAGCAGAUUCCUUCAGAACAUGCACUAAAUACAGAGAACUGCACCCUGGCUCGUCUCCGAGAAAUCCUGCACUGAAGCUUCCUAAAAAGGGCGGCUUUUUCUGUGCGACUGAGAAGGAACACUGCAGAUGCACAGGAAGUUCCUGAACCCACCUGAACCACCACCACCAUCUGGAUAAAAGGUCCCUUGAGCACAAUAACAUUUAUCCAAAAGUAAUUCUCUCAAACCCACAUAGCUUAACAUACUUCAAAAAUAUUUAAAAGUGUAACGGCAUCACAGGAAGUCUGUUAACAUUGAGGUACCACAUACUUCGCAAGGAGAUACGUCUGAGUUCUACGUCUGGUUCUGCUGUCGGCAGUUCCACCAACGAGGCCAAAGAACGACCACGACCCUCUGCCCGGGAAAGGGGAACUCACUCUGCGUCUCACUGCUCUGCCUGUGGAGGGGACAUUUCCCUCGUGUUUAAUGAAACAAAGCACCGAAUGGACAAACCGGCCCCCGGCUGCAGAAGCACGGACAGCAUCUCUGCAGACCGGCCCCCGCCCCGCGUCACUGCACAGCACCGCCGGCGGCGCCGUGCGCCAGCUGCUCCAGCAGAUGGAGGAGAAGGUCGAUUCUUUCCAGGAGAGAUGCGUUUUUGUUAGCAGUAGCUCUCAGAAGCUGGGAGUAAAUCUGCUUGUUGGUUUUGAGGACUACGUCUUCUUCAAGGUUACUACUGGUUAAAGAGAGAGAGAGAGAGAGAUGAAGCCAACAAGUGAGGCCCACCAACAGCCGUGAAAGAUCCACGAGCUAAACACCAGCGGCGCAGUCAUUGCUUUUCAUGGGGCAGCAGGUGUUCUGUGAGUGCCAACUCCAUACCUACCUUCUUGCAUCCAUUGCUUAUGGGCCUGUUUUUAAAUAUUUAUUUCAAAACAUCAAUUAAAGCCAAAGAUUAUUCCUUUA